UACGGGGGGAGCAAGCGUUGUUCGGAUUUACUGGGCGUAAAGGGCGCGUAGGCGGUCGUGACAAGUCACUUGUGAAAUCUCCGGGCUUAACCCGGAAAGGUCAAUCGAUACUGCGGGGCUAGAGUGCAGAAGGGGCAACUGGAAUUCUCGGUGUAGCGGUGAAAUGCGUAGAUAUCGAGAGGAACACCUGCGGCGAAGGCGGGUUGCUGGGCUGACACUGACGCUGAAGCGCGAAAGCUAGGGGAGCGAACGGG
RNAcentral lists this ribosomal RNA (254 nucleotides) under uncultured bacterium. Its description in RNAcentral is "partial 16S ribosomal RNA". It matches the Rfam family "Bacterial small subunit ribosomal RNA", at positions 524 to 776 of the family's 1533-position model. The record is from RNAcentral.